This 459-nucleotide ribosomal RNA is filed under the name uncultured bacterium. RNAcentral describes it as "partial 16S ribosomal RNA". It matches the Rfam family "Bacterial small subunit ribosomal RNA", at positions 338 to 795 of the family's 1533-position model. The record is from RNAcentral.
CCUACGGGCGGCAGCAGUGAGGAAUAUUGGUCAAUGGUCGGGAGACUGAACCAGCCAAGCCGCGUGAGGGAUGAAGGUACAGAGUAUCGUAAACCUCUUUUGUCAGGGAACAAAGGCGGGGACGUGUCCCCGGAUGAGUGGACCUGACGAAAAAGCAUCGGCUAACCCCGCGCCAGCAGCGGCGGUAAUACGGAGGAGGCGAUCGUUAUCCGGAUUUAUUGGGUUAAAAGGGUGCGCAGGCGGUCUGUUAAGUCAGUGGUCAAACCCCGGGGCUAAACCCCGCCCCGCCGUUGAAACUGGCAGUCUCGAGUUGGAGAGAAGUAUGCGGAAUGCGCGGUGUAGCGGUGAAAUGCAUAGAUAUCGCGCAGAACUCCGAUUGCGAAGGCAGCAUGCCGGCUCCACACUGACGCUGAGGCACGAAAGCGUGGGUAUCGAACAGGAUUAGAUACCCCAGUAGUC